UACGGAGGGUGCAAGCAUUGAUCGGAAUUACUGGGCGUAAAGGGCGCGUAGGCGGCCAAAAAAGUUGGAUGUGAAAUUCCGCGGCUCAACUGCGGAACAGCAUUCAAAACUCUUUGGCUAGAGCGUAGUUAGGGAAAACGGAAUUCCACGUGUAGCGGUGAAAUGCGUAGAUAUGACAUAGAACACCUAUUGCGAAGGCAGCUUACUACGCAGAGAUUGACGCUCAUGCACGAAAGCGUGGGGAUCAAACAGG
Molecule: ribosomal RNA, 253 nt
Filed under: uncultured prokaryote
Description: partial 16S ribosomal RNA
Rfam family: Bacterial small subunit ribosomal RNA
Source: RNAcentral